Molecule: small RNA, 437 nt
Filed under: Pongo abelii (Sumatran orangutan)
Lineage: Eukaryota; Metazoa; Chordata; Mammalia; Primates; Hominidae
Description: processed transcript
Source: RNAcentral
CAGUCUAGGAACUGCGCUGGUGGGGACAGGAAAUUGGGCCGAAGGGAGAUGAGUCCCCGGCGUGCGGUGGAGCCUCGCUGGGGGAAAUGUCAGCUUGGACCAUGGGCGCCCGCGGUCUGGACAAGCGAGGAAGUUUCUUUAAGCUCAUUGACACAAUUGCCUCGGAGAUCGGAGAACUGAAACAGGAGAUGGUGCGGACAGAUGUCAGCCUGGAAAAUGGCCUGGAACCCGCUGAAACCCACAGCAUGGUAAGACACAAGGAUGGUGGCUAUUCCGAGGAAGAGGACGUGAAGACCUGUGCCCGGGACUCAGGCUAUGACAGCCUCUCCAACAGGCUCAGCAUCUUGGACCGGCUCCUCCACACCCACCCCAUAUGGCUGCAGUUGAGUCUGAGUGAGGAGGAGGCAGCAGAGGUCCUGCAGGCCCAGCCUCCAGGG